GCCCAGUGAUGAGACCAAGGCGAAUACGAGUUUACUGAAUGAGGUUUGGGUUAUGCUUUGCCUUGACUGGCAGGUAAUCUUGGCAGUGCAGAGGAGGAUUUCUGCUCUGCUGUAAGGGCCUGCCUACAGUGACUUGGCUUGACCGAAAUUAUUCCUUUUAAGUGACAACGGAGUAAUCACCGGGAUGAAGCUGACAGUGUGUGUGUGUGUACAUUUGUGUGUGUGUGUAAAAGGCAAGGAGUUCACCCAGCUCUCUUUGCGGUUCAGUCGGCUGUGAAUUGUUUCUUUGGUAAUCUGAGGGCC
Toxotes jaculatrix (banded archerfish) is the source of this 303-nucleotide small nucleolar RNA. NCBI's taxonomy places the organism in Eukaryota, Metazoa, Chordata, Actinopteri, Toxotidae. The record is from RefSeq and is a predicted model, not a curated record.